Molecule: small RNA, 420 nt
Filed under: Vigna angularis var. angularis
Lineage: Eukaryota; Viridiplantae; Streptophyta; Magnoliopsida; Fabales; Fabaceae
Description: Non-protein coding transcript
Source: RNAcentral
GGAAACUCCAACCCCUUGACUUAGAAAACUCCUUUCUUCAUGAGUGUUAUGUACAUGAGGAAAAUGGAGAAAGUUUAACCUUGUUUUACAACAACCAAAAACAUCCGUGAAAGAGUGUAAGAGUUGUCCUCUUUUUGCUAGAGGUGUGGGUGAGGAGCAGAGGUAUAGAGAACAAGAGUAGAGAAGAUUGGCAUCAAAGAACCCAUUGGAACAUUUUCUGCAAUUAGAGAUGGUAAUGCAGAUAAAGCUGGACUGGAAUAGAUCUUCGAGAGAGACGGGAAAUAAAAACUUCUUGGGAUUUUAUAAUAAUUUCUUAUUUAUGUGUGUUUGAUUUCGUUAUUUUAAGGAACAAGUAAGAAUUUGGUUUAUUGUAAUGUAUGAACUUAUGACGUGUGUAUGGUUUGUUUAUGUGAUGAGUUG